GACGAACGCUGGCGGCGUGCUUAACACAUGCAAGUCGAACGGAAAGGUCCUGCUUUUGUGGGGUGCUCGAGUGGAGAACGGGUGAGUAACACGUGAGUAACCUGCCCUUGACUUUGGGAUAACUUCAGGAAACUGGGGCUAAUACCGGAUAGGAGCUCCUGCUGCAUGGUGGGGGUUGGUAAGUUUCGGGGGUUGGGGAUGGACUCGCGGCUUAUCGGCUUGUUGGUGUGGUAGUGGGUUACCAAGGCUUUGAAGGGUAGCCGGCCUGCGAGGGUAACCUGCCACGUUGGAACUGGAAUACGGCCCAGACUCCUACGGUAGGCAGCAGUGGGGAAUAUUGCACAAUGGGCUGAAGCCUGAUGCAGCAACGCCGCGUGCGGGAUGACAGCCUUCGGGUUGUGAACCGCUUUCGCCUGUGACGAAGCGUGAGUGACGGUAAUGGGUAAAGAAGCACCGGCUAACUACGUG
This 468-nucleotide ribosomal RNA is filed under the name uncultured bacterium. RNAcentral describes it as "partial 16S ribosomal RNA". It matches the Rfam family "Bacterial small subunit ribosomal RNA", at positions 28 to 507 of the family's 1533-position model. The record is from RNAcentral.